RNAcentral lists this ribosomal RNA (399 nucleotides) under uncultured bacterium. RNAcentral's name for it is "bacterial SSU rRNA". It matches the Rfam family "Bacterial small subunit ribosomal RNA", at positions 28 to 414 of the family's 1533-position model. The record is from RNAcentral.
GACGAACGCUGGCGGCGUGCCUAAUACAUGCAAGUCGAACGGACUUUGAAGUUAGCUUGCUAACUUCAUGGUUAGUGGCGGACGGGUGAGUAACACGUAGGCAACCUGCCCACAAGAUCGGGAUAACAUUCGGAAACGAAUGCUAAGACCGGAUAAACACUUCUCUCGCAUGAGGGGAAUGGGAAACACGGUGUAAGCUGUGGCUUGUGGAUGGGCCUGCGGCGCAUUAGCUAGUUGGUGGGGUAAAGGCUCACCAAGGCGACGAUGCGUAGCCGACCUGAGAGGGUGAACGGCCACACUGGGACUGAGACACGGCCCAGACUCCUACGGGAGCAGCAGUAGGGAAUCUUCCACAAUGGGCGCAAGCCUGAUGGAGCAACGCCGCGUGAGUGAGGAGGC